AGGUUUUAUAUUCUAUUAUUAUAUAAGAAUUUAAGUUGCAAACUUAACAAAAUAAAUUUAUUUAUUAAGACUUA
This 74-nucleotide transfer RNA is filed under the name Aoteapsyche colonica. Its description in RNAcentral is "tRNA-Cys". Lineage: Eukaryota; Metazoa; Arthropoda; Insecta; Trichoptera; Hydropsychidae. The record is from RNAcentral.